RNAcentral lists this long non-coding RNA (2098 nucleotides) under Theobroma cacao (cacao). RNAcentral describes it as "long non-coding RNA (TCAC_LNC003018)". The record is from RNAcentral. Lineage: Eukaryota; Viridiplantae; Streptophyta; Magnoliopsida; Malvales; Malvaceae.
UUCACAUCACUUAGGUGAUUUGAUUUGCAAUUCGGGUAGACAUACGCCAAUUGCCAUACAUAGUCGCAUUAGAACUGUCACGACCCGGAACUCCCCUCGAGCCCGUGAUAACCGCCGCGAUGUCUCGAUCGACACUCAUUACCCAGAAUGUCAACUGGAACCCUGCAAGGCUUUAAUAUUAGCUUAUCAUUUCCCUUGUGAGUAACCGUUGCCAAAUAUCACGUUCUAAAAGAUUUUUAAACUAUUUUCAACUUAAAACAAUAAAAAAUAAUUUUUGUCGCAUAGAGGCAUUUUGGUCAUUUUUCCUCACAAAUCUUGAAACCAGUUAAAAAUGUAGUAUACGAGUGGAAAACACAUAUUUCAUAAUCAAAAAUAAAUUCAAAUGUCUAAAACAUUCAUUUAAAACGAAACUAUAUCUAUUUGAAUAUAACAAAAAUAUUCAAUAAAAUAUUAUAUUUUCUUAUAAAACAAUAUUUAUAGAGUUAUCGGUAAAUAUUUUUUUUGUAGCGUAAAAGCUAAAUAAAUUCAUACAUACUGUAAUACAGAUAACCAAAGUAUAAAAUUUAAUUUACAGUGACACGUGGGCCCACGAAUGACUAAAAGUAUAAAAAGAAAUGAACCUACAAUUUUUGGAUGUGGCAAGUCCAACUGUAGUCAUCGACGACAUCAGUUAUCUACAAUCUAUUCUGAGCCUAAAAUGGGUGGAAAUGAGGGUGGUGAGAUUAUAUAAUCCUAGUGAGUAAACACAUACCAUCUAAAAUAUCUAAAGCCAAGUAAAUGGAAACAGAUAAAAUAGUUUUAACAUACUGUAAUUCAUCACCUUUCAACUUGUUUCAACCAAAUAAAAUCAAUUCAUAUAAAUCGAGUAAUCAACUUGGCUUAUGAAUUUCUUAAAAGCUUUGGCUCGUGCCAAACUCAUUCUCAUGCCUAGUUAUCAGGGAUACCUUGAUCGAGGGCUAUCCCAACGAAGUCCACCAAGGCUGUUAAAAAAAGUUAAGUACGCAUAAAUCAUGUUUUUGUUUCGAAAACGUAGUCGUUCCUUUGCGUUGGCUGAGUUCCUCUUUAGAUAAAACCGAAAAAUUAUGAAGUCAUUUCAUUAAAUCACAUUUUGUUUAUAAAAUCGAAAAAUUAAUCAUUUAAUUCAUUUUCCAUAAAAUUCACAACAUCGGAUAAAAACCACUUUAGAUAAUUAAGAUGAUAGUAAGGUUACUCACAGUACUAGGAGUUCGAUAUACUCCUAUUCCCAGUCUUCGGGCACAAUCUCUUUACCCUUGUUAGAGGGCUCACCACCUAUACAUCCUACUUGACACGAAUUUCAAUAAAUUGUGUCAAUUUAUCAUAAACUAUUUCAGGCUCUAUAAAUCUAUAUGAAUGCACGAAAUGUGAUGUAAAAUGUCCGAAUAGCCGUUUAAAUACGGUAUUCGACCUAAUUUGCACUAUUCUUGGUGUAAUUGGCUAAAACCUCCAAUUUAACUUCAAAUCGAUUUCUUUCACUUUCUACACUCCAAUUACACUUAAAAUACCUCAAUGACUGUGAAUAUGAUUCAAUUUAUCAAUCCAAAUCAUAAAUCGCACAUGUCUAUACAUUAGGUAAAACUUCAGAUUUUCAUGCCAAAAUUUCUCAUUAAAUUUCUAGCCUCACCAAUUAUUAGAUGCCACCAAAAUAUCAUGAAAUAUCAUCAAUUUCAACCUUAAUAUCCUUCCUAGAAAAUUCGGCCUCUUGUGGGUUUGUGAAGAACAAAGUGAUUCCUUACUAGAUUUUCAUACUUUCCAUUACUAAACAACCAAAACACUUAAUUAGCUUGAAAUCUAGCAAAAUCAAUGCUCAAAACCUCUCCUCUCAAAUUCGGCCAGCAUGGGUUCAUCAUGCAAACUUGAGUUCUAAGCAUGGAAAAUGAAAAAGAAAGCAUGGGUAGUGUAAAUCACAAGAUAAAAUCACAAAAUUUUACCUUUAUUAGCUUAANGGUAGUAUAAAUACAUAAGAUAAAAUCACAAAAUUUUACCUUUAUUAGCAUAAUCCCUUGAAAUCCCACACUUUUUCUUCAAUUUUCCCACCUAAGGUUUCUGUUCUUUCCUUUCCUCUUCACUUCAUGCUUUG